AGGAAGAGGAAGCUGGUUUGAGGAUUGAGUAGGAAAUUCCAGGCUGUACUGCUGUAAAAGCAGCCGGACACAGCCCAAACCCAGGCAGGGGGCUCUGCUGCUGCUCCAGGCUGGCGCUGGGCGCCGGGAAAGCUGGCUUUGCUCUGCUAUCCUGGUCAGGAUUGGUGCAUGAGAAAAUAGCACCAGGUUUUCCUAACCUUCAUGGCAACGCUUCCAACCUGAGGACCCAGUACUUUCUGGAAAGGAAAUUCCUUUCUUUCCACCACUGAGACGGUACCAGCCUUGUCCGAGAGGAAAGCAGCCACCUCCAUUCCUGCAAGGGAAAGGCGUGCCCGAGGUGAGCCGGCUGCAAGCAACAACCUGCACCCUCCUUCUUGGAAACCUUUUCCCUUCCCAGGUCGGCACCUGGGACUUUGAGGAAGCUGGAGCUGGAGGAGAUACCUCUCAUGAUCAGAAAUUAAACAGAAUAAGCCUGUUGCAAUGAGCAGCUGAUUGUACUUCUGCGAGGACCCAUCCAUGAACUGGACUUUCUGCUUCUGGAAAUCCACCGACACUGCCUGCAGGAGAAAGGAGGCAAAGCUCCAACAGAGCUCUAUGCAACGAGCAUGGAGGAAUUCAGGCUUCCUCAGGUAGAUGUCUUCAGCUUUCAAGUUCAUGUUCUGGAAAUAAAACAGAAAUAUGAAACAAAGCCCUUCUUGCAGCCAGUGGAACCGUUGCGGCGUUUACUGGGAAGUGAGUUUGCACAGGAGGCAGAUAUUGUAUUGGUAAAUCACAGCUCCCCACUCUGCCCCAUCCCUUCAUCAUCCUGUUCCCCCUUAUCAAAAAACAUCAACUCAAACUCUAGCGGGAAGAUCUCGGUGAAAGGGGUUGAAACUUUCGCUUAUGGUGAACUCUUCAUGGGUGGACCCUUCCAACCCAAACCGUUCUAUGACUUUGAUCAAAGACCUUCUGGGAGGAAGAAGUGGAAUGUUAUCUGGAUAUGGUACCCCUCGGGUGCCUCAGUGCUCCUGCUGCUUGGCCACAACGGCUCACUCAACUGCUCAGCCUGGUCCUGGGUGUGGGCCAUGUCCCAGUUUCACACAUGGUACCCAGGCACAGUCCUGCCCUCCUCGCAU
Long non-coding RNA from Cuculus canorus (common cuckoo), 1115 nucleotides. RefSeq lists it as uncharacterized. The transcript is spliced from 5 exons. The record is from RefSeq and is a predicted model, not a curated record. NCBI's taxonomy places the organism in Eukaryota, Metazoa, Chordata, Aves, Cuculiformes, Cuculidae.